Molecule: small nucleolar RNA, 107 nt
Filed under: Thalictrum thalictroides
Lineage: Eukaryota; Viridiplantae; Streptophyta; Magnoliopsida; Ranunculales; Ranunculaceae
Description: Plant small nucleolar RNA R71
Rfam family: Plant small nucleolar RNA R71
About the family: R71 is a member of the C/D box family of snoRNAs containing the C (UGAUGA) and D (CUGA) box motifs. Multiple nearly identical copies of this snoRNA have been identified in Arabidopsis, and it is thought to function as a 2'-O-ribose methylation guide for 18S ribosomal RNA.
Source: Rfam by way of RNAcentral
AUUUGAUGAUGUGGACAUUGUAUUUGUAAGUCCCCAAAUCUUUUCCAUGCUUCAAAGAAUUCUUUAGUAUGUUUUUGUUUAAAAGUUGGGAUCUUGUUUCUUAACUC